GAGUUUGAUCAUGGCUACAGGACGAACGCUGGCGGCGUGCUUAACACAUGCAAGUCGAACGAGAAGAGAAGGAAGCUUGCUUCUUUCUAAAUCUAGUGGCGAACGGGUGAGUAACACGUAAACAACCUGCCUUCAGGAUGGGGACAACAGACGGAAACGACUGCUAAUACCGAAUACGUUCCUUAGGGUCGCAUGAUCUUGGGAAGAAAGGUGGCCUCUACCUGUAAGCUAUCGCCUGAAGAGGGGUUUGCGUCUGAUUAGGUAGUUGGUGAGGUAACGGCCCACCAAGCCGACGAUCAGUAGCCGGUCUGAGAGGAAGGUCCCCCACAUUGGAACUGAGACACGGUCCAAACUCCUACGGGAGGCAGCA
RNAcentral lists this ribosomal RNA (370 nucleotides) under uncultured bacterium. RNAcentral describes it as "bacterial SSU rRNA". It matches the Rfam family "Bacterial small subunit ribosomal RNA", at positions 9 to 353 of the family's 1533-position model. The record is from RNAcentral.